AACGAACGCUGGCGGCGUGCUUAACACAUGCAAGUCGAACGCGAAAGUUUUCUUCGGAAAGCGAGUAGAGUGGCGCACGGGUGAGUAACGCGUAAGUAAUCUACCCUGGUAUCUGGGAUAACUCACCGAAAGGUGUGCUAAUACCGGAUACGCUGAGUAAUCAGGAAAGGUGGCCUCUUCAUGAAAGCUACUGUACCAGGAGGAGCUUGCGUACCAUUAGCUAGUUGGUAGGGUAAUGGCCUACCAAGGCAACGAUGGUUAGCGGGUCUGAGAGGAUGAUCCGCCACACUGGAACUGAAACACGGACCAGACUCCUACGGGAGGCAGCAGUGAGGAAUAUUGCGCAAUGGGGGAAACCCUGACGCAGCGACGCCGCGUGGAUGAUGAAGGCCUUCGGGUCGUAAAA
This 406-nucleotide ribosomal RNA is filed under the name uncultured bacterium. RNAcentral describes it as "bacterial SSU rRNA". It matches the Rfam family "Bacterial small subunit ribosomal RNA", at positions 29 to 430 of the family's 1533-position model. The record is from RNAcentral.